This 101-nucleotide non-coding RNA is filed under the name Gordonia sihwensis. RNAcentral describes it as "Glycine sequence". It matches the Rfam family "Glycine riboswitch aptamer". From Rfam's summary of the family: This family represents the bacterial glycine riboswitch. Glycine riboswitches usually consist of two metabolite-binding aptamers domains with similar structures in tandem. Lineage: Bacteria; Bacillati; Actinomycetota; Actinomycetes; Mycobacteriales; Gordoniaceae. RNAcentral also lists the same sequence under 1 other name. The record is from RNAcentral.
CGCUACGCUGCGGGAGAGCGUCGUCCGGGACAUCCGGGCAACCGCCGAAGGAGCAACACCUCUCCGUCAAACUCUCAGGCACCCGGGACCGUGGCUGCUGA